CCCUUAACUAUUAAAAGUUUCGUUUUGGUCCCUUAACUUAUUUUUUGGUUUCGUUUUGGUCCCUUAACUUAUUUUUUGGUUUCGUUUUGGUCCCUUAACUCUUCCUCCGUCAACCACUUUGGUCCUUUAUGUUAGGAUGAAUGUAUUAGAGUUAAGGACCAAAACGAAAUAAAAAAAAAAAAGUUAAGGGACCAAAACGAAACCAAAAAAUAAGUUAAGGGACCAAAACGAAACUUUUAAUAGUUAAGGGA
This 251-nucleotide microRNA precursor is filed under the name Medicago truncatula (barrel medic). RNAcentral describes it as "MIR2655 microRNA precursor family". It matches the Rfam family "MIR2655 microRNA precursor family". The record is from Rfam by way of RNAcentral. Lineage: Eukaryota; Viridiplantae; Streptophyta; Magnoliopsida; Fabales; Fabaceae.